UUGCCCUAGUAACGGCGAGUGAAGCGGCAACAGCUCAAAUUUGAAAUCUGGCUCUUUUAGAGUCCGAGUUGUAAUUUGCAGAGGGCGCUUUGGCGUUGGCAGCGGUCCAAGUUCUUUGGAACAGGACGUCACAGAGGGUGAGAAUCCCGUACGUGGUCGCUAGCCUUCGCCGUGUAAAGCCCCUUCGACGAGUCGAGUUGUUUGGGAAUGCAGCUCUAAAUGGGAGGUAAAUUUCUUCUAAAGCUAAAUACUGGCCAGAGACCGAUAGCGCACAAGUAGAGUGAUCGAAAGAUGAAAAGCACUUUGGAAAGAGAGUCAAAUAGCACGUGAAAUUGUUGAAAGGGAAGCGCUUGCAGCCAGACUUGCCUGUAGUUGCUUAUCCGGACUUUUGUCCGGUGCACUCUUCUGCGGGCAGGCCAGCAUCAGUCUAGGCGGUUGGAUAAAGGUCUCUGUCAUGUACCUCUCUUCGGGGAGGCCUUAUAGGGGAGACGACAUGCAACCAGCCUGGACUGAGGUCCGCGCAUCUGCUAGGAUGCUGGCGUAAUGGCUGUAAGCGGCCCGUCUUGAAACACGGACCAAGGAGUCUAACAUCUAUGCGAGUGUUUGGGUGUCAAGCCCAGACGCGUAAUGAAAGUGAACGGAGGUGGGAACCCUUUGGGUGCACCAUCGACCGAUCCUGAUGUCUUCGGAUGGAUUUGAGUAAGAGCAUGGCUGUUGGGACCCGAAAGAUGGUGAACUAUGCUUGAAUAGGGUGAAGCCAGAGGAAACUCUGGUGGAGGCUCGCAGCGGUUCUGACGUGCAAAUCGAUCGUCAAAUUUGGGCAUA
RNAcentral lists this ribosomal RNA (825 nucleotides) under Neosetophoma miscanthi. RNAcentral describes it as "partial large subunit ribosomal RNA". It matches the Rfam family "Eukaryotic large subunit ribosomal RNA", at positions 75 to 919 of the family's 3401-position model. Lineage: Eukaryota; Fungi; Ascomycota; Dothideomycetes; Pleosporales; Phaeosphaeriaceae. The record is from RNAcentral.